GAUGAACGCUGGCGGCGUGCCUAAUACAUGCAAGUCGAGCGAACAGAUGAGGAGCUUGCUCCUCUGACGUUAGCGGCGGACGGGUGAGUAACACGUGGAUAACCUACCUAUAAGACUGGGAUAACUUCGGGAAACCGGAGCUAAUACCGGAUAAUAUAUUGAACCGCAUGGUUCAAUAGUGAAAGACGGUUUUGCUGUCACUUAUAGAUGGAUCCGCGCCGCAUUAGCUAGUUGGUAAGGUAACGGCUUACCAAGGCGACGAUGCGUAGCCGACCUGAGAGGGUGAUCGGCCACACUGGAACUGAGACACGGUCCAGACUCCUACGGGAGGCAGCAGUAGGGAAUCUUCCGCAAUGGGCGAAAGCCUGACGGAGCAACGCCGCGUGAGUGAUGAAGGUCUUCGGAUCGUAAAACUCUGUUAUUAGGGAAGAAAAAAUGUGUAAGUAACUAUGCACGUCUUGACGGUACCUAAUCAGAAAGCCACGGCUAACUACGUG
Molecule: ribosomal RNA, 497 nt
Filed under: uncultured bacterium
Lineage: Bacteria
Description: partial 16S ribosomal RNA
Rfam family: Bacterial small subunit ribosomal RNA
Source: RNAcentral